UGGGGAAUUUUGGACAAUGGGCGCAAGCCUGAUCCAGCCAUGCCGCGUGCGGGAAGAAGGCCUUCGGGUUGUAAACCGCUUUUGUCAGGGAAGAAAUCUUCUGAGUUAAUACCUCGGGAGGAUGACGGUACCUGAAGAAUAAGCACCGGCUAACUACGUGCCAGCAGCCGCGGUAAUACGUAGGGUGCAAGCGUUAAUCGGAAUUACUGGGCGUAAAGCGUGCGCAGGCGGUUUUGUAAGACAGAGGUGAAAUCCCCGGCGUCAACCUGGGAACUGCCUUUGUGACUGCAAGGCUUGAGUGCGGCAGAGGGGGAUGGAAUUCCGCGUGUAGCAGUGAAAUGCGUAGANAUGUGGAGGAAUACCGAUGGCGAAGGC
This 375-nucleotide ribosomal RNA is filed under the name uncultured bacterium. RNAcentral describes it as "partial 16S ribosomal RNA". It matches the Rfam family "Bacterial small subunit ribosomal RNA", at positions 355 to 722 of the family's 1533-position model. The record is from RNAcentral.